GCCAGGCAUGGUGGCCCAUGUCUGUAGUCCCAGCUGCUCGGGAGGCUGAGGUGGGAGUAUCACUUGAGUCCAGGAGUUCAAGGCCGCAGUGAGCCAUGGUAGUAUCACUGCACGCCAGCCUGGACAACAGAGUGAGACCCUGUCUCUA
This is an unclassified non-coding RNA of Macaca fascicularis (crab-eating macaque), 148 nucleotides long. It matches the Rfam family "Metazoan signal recognition particle RNA". Rfam says of the family: The signal recognition particle (SRP) is a universally conserved ribonucleoprotein. It is involved in the co-translational targeting of proteins to membranes. NCBI's taxonomy places the organism in Eukaryota, Metazoa, Chordata, Mammalia, Primates, Cercopithecidae. The record is from Ensembl.